GUUCCCGGACCCUGCAGCUUCUUCCCGGACUUGGGCGUGCAGGAAAGCGCUUUGGAGAGUCUUGCUGCCGCCAAGCCACCUCUGAGAGGGCAGCACAAGAUGACCGCCUCCCCGGAGACAGCCCAGGCCGGAGUCGGUCAUGGGUUGGGUCCGGCUGGAGACGCGGGAGCCCGCCCGGAUCCUGCCGGCACCUGCCAGACACAGCUGGCGACCUCUGGCUCCGAAGAUCCCAGCAGUGCGGGCGGCCUCAGCAGCAGUUGCAGCCACCUGAGCCCUCCUGGGGAAUCGCCGAGCCCGGACUCCCUGGAGUCGUUUUCUAACCUGCAUUCUUUCCCCAGUAGCUCCGAGUUCAAUAGUGAGGAGGGAGCGGAGAACAGGGUCCCAGAGCAGGAGGAGUGCGCCACCGCGCGGCGGUGCCUGGGGCUGUCCUUCUCUGCCAGGAGGAGGAGGCGGAGACCGCUCAGGUCCUGGAGGCCUCCAAGGAAUGCUUCCCAGGACAAUCUGUGUAUCACAUCAAGUGGAUCCAGUGGAAGGAAGAGAACACACCCAUCAUCACCCAGAAUGAGAAUGGACCCUGCCCUUUGCUGGCCAUCCUCAAUGUUUUGCUCCUGGCCUGGAAGGUGAAACUUACACCGAUGAUGGAAAUCAUAACUGCUGAGCAGCUGAUGGAAUAUAUAGGAGAUUACAUGCCUGAGGCAAAGCCAAAAGAAAUUUCAGAAAUUCAACGUUUAAAUUAUGAACAGAAUAUGAGUGAUGCUAUGGCAAUUUUGCACAAACUACAGACAGGCCUGGAUGUAAAUGUAAAAUUCACUGGUGUCCGAGUGUUUGCAUAUACACCAGAGUGCAUAGUAUUUGAUCUGCUUGGUAUUCCUUUGUACCAUGGGUGGUUAGUAGAUCCUCAGAUUGAUGACAUUGUCAAAGCUGUUGGUAACUGCAGCUACAACCAACUUGUGGAGAAGAUCAUCUCUUGUAAGCAGUCAGACAGUAGAGAGCUGGUUAGCCAAGGCUUUGUAGCUGAGCAAUUUCUAAAUAACACAGCCACUCAACUGACAGACCAUGGAUUAUGGGAACUAACUUCAACGGUUCAGGAAGGAGAACUUUGUGUGUUCUUUCGGAGUAAUCAUUUUAGCACCAUGACCAAAUACAAGGGUCAGCUGUAUUUGCUGAUAACAGAUCAGAGGGUUCUUACCAAUGAAAAAGUUGUUUGGGAAAGCCUACACAAUGUAGACAGUGAUGGAAACUUCUGUGACUCUGAAUUUCAUCUGCGGCCUCCUUCAGAUCCUGAAACUGUAGACAAAGGACAACAAGAUCAGAUAGAUCAGGACUAUCUUAUGGCAUUAUCUCUACAACAAGAACAGCAAAGCCAAGAGAUCAAUUGGGAAAAAAUUCCGGAAGGAAUCAGAGAUUUGGAGCUAGCAAAGAAACUCCAAGAGGAAGAAGACAGACGGGCUUCUCAGUACUAUCAGGAGCAGGAACAGGCAGCGGCUGUUGCUGCUUCUGCUUCUGCGUCUCCACAGCCCCAGCAGAGCCAGCCAGGAUAUCUGUACUCCUAUGGCACUGAGUGGAGCAAAGUGGGUGAUGGAGGCUGUGCAGCCCUGCCGGCCUUCACCACCACUCCCACUGUCAGCCUGGGCAGCAGGACUUCUGCCACUAACACCAUGGGUUCAAAGUCAGGCCUUGUCUGUGUGCUGCUGAGACUGAACCAGCUUACCUGGGCUGUAGAAUCUGUCAGUAGUUGA
Molecule: RNA transcript, 1739 nt
Organism: Otolemur garnettii (small-eared galago)
Lineage: Eukaryota; Metazoa; Chordata; Mammalia; Primates; Galagidae
Gene name: ubiquitin carboxyl-terminal hydrolase MINDY-2 pseudogene
Exons: 2
Source: RefSeq, a predicted model, not a curated record